GGUGAAGAACGCAGCGAAAUGCGAUACGUAAUGUGAAUUGCAGAAUUCCGUGAAUCAUCGAAUCUUUGAACGCACAUUGCGCCCGCCAGCAUUCUGGCGGGCAUGCCUGUUCGAGCGUCAUUUCAACCCUCGACGUCCCCCGGGACGUCGGCCUUGGGGACCGGCAGCACCCCGCCGGCCCUGAAAUGGAGUGGCGGCCCGUCCGCGGCGACCUCUGCGAAGUACUACAGCUCGCACCGGAAACCCGACGCGGCCCCGCCGUGAAACCCCCAACUCUGAACGUUGACCUCGGAUCAGGUAGGACUACCCGCUGAACUUAAGCAUAUCAAUAAGCGGAGGA
RNAcentral lists this unclassified non-coding RNA (340 nucleotides) under soil metagenome. Its description in RNAcentral is "partial contains 5.8S ribosomal RNA, internal transcribed spacer 2, and large subunit ribosomal RNA". The stretch from base 3 to 120 matches the Rfam family "5.8S ribosomal RNA", at positions 37 to 154 of the family's 154-position model. The record is from RNAcentral.